This is a non-coding RNA of Schizosaccharomyces pombe (fission yeast), 373 nucleotides long. NCBI's taxonomy places the organism in Eukaryota, Fungi, Ascomycota, Schizosaccharomycetes, Schizosaccharomycetales, Schizosaccharomycetaceae. The record is from the annotation of a GenBank genome assembly.
AACAUUUUCCUCUAUUAAUUUCUGCAACUCCUUUGAAGCCUUAAGUUUAUUAUCUUUUACGAAAGAAGUUAGACCAAUCGAUUCUAAACUUUUGUAAUUUUCGAUGAAUUUUCUGCUGCUAGUCGAGGCAGAGGAAACCGUAUGUUUUGAAGAGUCUAAUACGUGAUUGUUUGAUGACGAAAAAUUUGAACUGGUGUCUGCUUCUUCCAGAAGCUUUCGAAGAGCGACUCCUAUGGCUUUGUGUUUAUUAAUUUCUUCGAUAGUAAAGUUAGUCAGCCUCUCUUCUUCUUUGAGGUCAGAUUUUAAAAUAAAGGUAUUGUUUUUAGUGUUCUUGGUUUCUGAAACAGCUUCCGAUUCCUUCAAUAAGUCAACA